Non-coding RNA from Pelobates cultripes (western spadefoot toad), 1287 nucleotides. The record is from the annotation of a GenBank genome assembly. Lineage: Eukaryota; Metazoa; Chordata; Amphibia; Anura; Pelobatidae.
UUUUAAUGUGGUGUUUGUAACCUAUAUAUGUCAAAAUAGAUACAUUUUGGGCAUAUGAGGUAUUUUCAGAAUUGGACAAAUACAUUUCUUUUCCGGUAUGGUUCUUUUAGUAGCCCCUGAUUUGCACAAAUUAUACAAUGGGAAACACCGUGGCAAAUGUUUUGUGCUUCCACUAGUUUCAUUACCCAUAAAUAACAGAAUGUGCAUUCAUAUGGGGUAUUCUGCCCCCUAGUGUUUUUCCAUGGCUCUUGGUGAGGUUUGGCUCAAAUACUGCAUCUUUUGCUUGAUCUGUUACAGGAGUUACACUUUUGAGUUGCGAUAUAAAUUUUGGAAAGGGGCCAGGUUCUUGGUGCUUAGGGUAACCAGAAGACCUCAGUAGUUAGGUGUAAAGUAACCCUUCACUAGAAUUAAGCCUGUAUGACAAAAUGGACAGCUAGAGGUAUGCAAAGUGUGGCAUUUGCGUACAUUCUAUAAAAUGUGAAAGAUGCCACAUGCCUGCUGAUAAAAAUUUAACUCUGGCGCACAGGCAAUACUGCUCAUCCAAACUUUGUCCCAUUUUAAUUAAAACUCCCUAACCUCCUCACAUUUUAUAUUGGCACUCUUUUUUUUAUAUAAAUUGACCUUGUUACACCCGUGGCUUUUUAAGCAGACAACAGGUCCUGUUACUUCCUGGUUUGAUUUGCUCAAUGGAGCUAAACUCGAGGCAGCAAUUGCCCAGAGCCCCUACCUUUUCAUUGAACUGUAUUGGGAAGCCUAUGAUUGGACAUCCACAGAAAGUCUGAGGUGGAUUAGAAGGGGAAGGUGUGCAAAAGCAGUAGACGAGAACUGCAACAUUUGCAAGCUGUUUUUAAAUAUGCCCACAAUAAAGAAAUGCAUAACGAAAUACCUGUUGGGGUGUAUCUACUAAAUAUUUUUUUUUGUAUAUCUGGACAGUGGAGUGUCCCUUCAAAUAUAAAUUGCAUUCAGACUGCACAUCCCAAAAUGCUCUGUGUAGUCCUGACUGUGUUUUAGUUACAAAACUAUUCCAACUUUGACCAAAAUAACCAACUUUAGAAAUUCAUCAAGUUUAUGUCUGCUCUGUAGAUAACUUCCAGCUUUUCGUUUAUUCACAUGCAGUAUAUUUUGAUGUUCAAUGAAACCAUUAGGUAUCCAUCUGGCUGCCUUCCAUAUUGCUGCAGUUGCAUAUGCAUCUUAUGUUGGUGUAUAUCCCAUCAUUUUUAAGAAAUGCUCAGAAGCUUGAUCGGGUGUUGACUAAAUACUGUUGACACAUGCAAUGUAAUUUUGUGU